RNAcentral lists this ribosomal RNA (198 nucleotides) under uncultured bacterium. RNAcentral's name for it is "partial 16S ribosomal RNA". It matches the Rfam family "Bacterial small subunit ribosomal RNA", at positions 328 to 539 of the family's 1533-position model. The record is from RNAcentral.
ACGCUCGACACCUACAGGAGGCAGCAGUGGGGAAUAUUGCACAAUGGGGGAAACCCUGAUGCAGCGACGCCGCGUGAGUGAAGAAGUAUUUCGGUAUGUAAAGCUCUAUCAGCAGGGAAGAAAAUGACGGUACCUGAGUAAGAAGCCCCGGCUAACUACGUGCCAGCAGCCGCGGUAAUCUGAGCGGGCUGGCAAGGC